GAGCACUGUUUCGGCAAGGGGGUCAUCCCGACUUACCAACCCGAUGCAAACUGCGAAUACCGGAGAAUGUUAUCACGGGAGACACACGGCGGGUGCUAACGUCCGUCGUGAAGAGGGAAACAACCCAGACCGCCAGCUAAGGUCCCAAAGUCAUGGUUAAGUGGGAAACGAUGUGGGAAGGCCCAGACAGCCAGGAUGUUGGCUUAGAAGCAGCCAUCAUUUAAAGAAAGCGUAAUAGCUCACUGGUCGAGUCGGCCUGCGCGGAAGAUGUAACGGGGCUAAACCAUGCACCGAAGCUGCGGCAGCGACGCUGAUGCGUUGUUGGGUAGGGGAGCGUUCUGUAAGCCUGCGAAGGUGUGCUGUGAGGCAUGCUGGAGGUAUCAGAAGUGCGAAUGCUGACAUAAGUAACGAUAAAGCGGGUGAAAAGCCCGCUCGCCGGAAGACCAAGGGUUCCUGUCCAACGUUAAUCGGGGCAGGGUGAGUCGACCCCUAAGGCGAGGCCGAAAGGCGUAGUCGAUGGGAAACAGGUUAAUAUUCCUGUACUUGGUGUUACUGCGAAGGGGGGACGGAGAAGGCUAUGUUGGCCGGGCGACGGUUGUCCCGGUUUAAGCGUGUAGGCUGGUUUUCCAGGCAAAUCCGGAAAAUCAAGGCUGAGGCGUGAUGACGAGGCACUACGGUGCUGAAGCAACAAAUGCCCUGCUUCCAGGAAAAGCCUCUAAGCAUCAGGUAACAUCAAAUCGUACCCCAAACCGACACAGGUGGUCAGGUAGAGAAUACCAAGGCGCUUGAGAGAACUCGGGUGAAGGAACUAGGCAAAAUGGUGCCGUAACUUCGGGAGAAGGCACGCUGAUAUGUAGGUGAGGUCCCUCGCGGAUGGAGCUGAAAUCAGUCGAAGAUACCAGCUGGCUGCAACUGUUUAUUAAAAACACAGCACUGUGCAAACACGAAAGUGGACGUAUACGGUGUGACGCCUGCCCGGUGCCGGAAGGUUAAUUGAUGGGGUUAGCGCAAGCGAAGCUCUUGAUCGAAGCCCCGGUAAACGGCGGCCGUAACUAUAACGGUCCUAAGGUAGCGAAAUUCCUUGUCGGGUAAGUUCCGACCUGCACGAAUGGCGUAAUGAUGGCCAGGCUGUCUCCACCCGAGACUCAGUGAAAUUGAACUCGCUGUGAAGAUGCAGUGUACCCGCGGCAAGACGGAAAGACCCCGUGAACCUUUACUAUAGCUUGACACUGAACAUUGAGCCUUGAUGUGUAGGAUAGGUGGGAGGCUUAGAAGUGUGGACGCCAGUCUGCAUGGAGCCGACCUUGAAAUACCACCCUUUAAUGUUUGAUGUUCUAACGUUGACCCGUAAUCCGGGUUGCGGACAGUGUCUGGUGGGUAGUUUGACUGGGGCGGUCUCCUCCUAAAGAGUAACGGAGGAGCACGAAGGUUGGCUAAUCCUGGUCGGACAUCAGGAGGUUAGUGCAAUGGCAUAAGCCAGCUUGACUGCGAGCGUGACGGCGCGAGCAGGUGCGAAAGCAGGUCAUAGUGAUCCGGUGGUUCUGAAUGGAAGGGCCAUCGCUCAACGGAUAAAAGGUACUCCGGGGAUAACAGGCUGAUACCGCCCAAGAGUUCAUAUCGACGGCGGUGUUUGGCACCUCGAUGUCGGCUCAUCACAUCCUGGGGCUGAAGUAGGUCCCAAGGGUAUGGCUGUUCGCCAUUUAAAGUGGUACGCGAGCUGGGUUUAGAACGUCGUGAGACAGUUCGGUCCCUAUCUGCCGUGGGCGCUGGAGAACUGAGGGGGGCUGCUCCUAGUACGAGAGGACCGGAGUGGACGCAUCACUGGUGUUCGGGUUGUCAUGCCAAUGGCACUGCCCGGUAGCUAAAUGCGGAAGAGAUAAGUGCUGAAAGCAUCUAAGCACGAAACUUGCCCCGAGAUGAGUUCUCCCUGACUCCUUGAGAGUCCUGAAGGAACGUUGAAGACGACGACGUUGAUAGGCCGGGUGUGUAAGCGCAGCGAUGCGUUGAGCUAACCGGUACUAAUGAACCGUGAG
Molecule: ribosomal RNA, 2033 nt
Filed under: Escherichia coli
Lineage: Bacteria; Pseudomonadati; Pseudomonadota; Gammaproteobacteria; Enterobacterales; Enterobacteriaceae
Description: partial 23S ribosomal RNA
Rfam family: Bacterial large subunit ribosomal RNA
Source: RNAcentral